GGGGGAUAUUGCACAAUGGGGGAAACCCUGAUGCAGCGACGCCGCGUGGAGGAAGAAGGUUUUCGGAUUGUAAACUCCUGUCGUUAGGGACGAUAAUGACGGUACCUAACAAGAAAGCACCGGCUAACUACGUGCCAGCAGCCGCGGUAAAACGUAGGGUGCAAGCGUUGUCCGGAAUUACUGGGUGUAAAGGGAGCGCAGGCGGGAAGACAAGUUGGAAGUGAAAACCAUGGGCUCAACCCAUGAAUUGCUUUCAAAACUGUUUUUCUUGAGUAGUGCAGAGGUAGAUGGAAUUCCCGGUGUAGCGGUGGAAUGCGUAGAUAUCGGGAGGAACACCAGUGGCGAAGGCGGUCUACUGGGCACCAACUGACGCUGAGGCUCGAAAGCAUGGGUAGCAAACAGGAUUAGAUACCCUGGUAGUCCAUGCCGUAAACGAUGAUUACUAGGUGUUGGGGGAUUGACCCCCUCAGUGCCGCAGUUAACACAAUAAGUAAUCCACCUGGGGAGUACGACCGCAAGGUUGAAACUCAAAGGAAUUGACGGGGGCCCGCACAAGCAGUGGAGUAUGUGGUUUAAUUCGAAGCAACGCGAAGAACCUUACCAGGUCUUGACAUCCGAUGCAUAGCACAGAGAUGUGUGAAAUCCUUCGGGACAUCGAGACAGGUGGUGCAUGGUUGUCGUCAGCUCGUGUCGUGAGAUGUUGGGUUAAGUCCCGCAACGAGCGCAACCCUUAUUGCCAGUUACUACGUUAAGAGGACUCUGGCGAGACUGCCGUUGACAAAACGGAGGAAGGUGGGGAUGACGUCAAAUCAUCAUGCCCUUUAUGACCUGGGCUACACACGUACUACAAUGGCGUUAAACAAAGAGAAGUAAGACCGCGAGGUGGAGCAAAACUCAAAAACAACGUCUCAGUUCAGAUUGCAGGCUGCAACUCGCCUGCAUGAAGUCGGAAUUGCUAGUAAUCGCGGAUCAGCAUGCCGCGGUGAAUACGUUCCCG
This 997-nucleotide ribosomal RNA is filed under the name uncultured bacterium. Its description in RNAcentral is "bacterial SSU rRNA". It matches the Rfam family "Bacterial small subunit ribosomal RNA", at positions 356 to 1376 of the family's 1533-position model. The record is from RNAcentral.